RNAcentral lists this ribosomal RNA (23 nucleotides) under Cookeina colensoi. RNAcentral describes it as "partial 25S ribosomal RNA". Lineage: Eukaryota; Fungi; Ascomycota; Pezizomycetes; Pezizales; Sarcoscyphaceae. The record is from RNAcentral.
AUAUGGACCUCGGAUCAGGUAGG